RNAcentral lists this unclassified non-coding RNA (400 nucleotides) under Hevea brasiliensis (rubber tree). Lineage: Eukaryota; Viridiplantae; Streptophyta; Magnoliopsida; Malpighiales; Euphorbiaceae. The record is from RNAcentral.
GUAAAAUCGUAAAGCGAGUCUGAAGUAAAUUUCAAUUUUUCUUUGUUCUGUGUUUGUUUAUCCCUACGACUUUGGGUUUUAUCUAGUCUAUGUUUGAAGAAUUUGAACUUGACGGAAUGAAUUUUGAAAUUUAGAUAAGGAUUAUAGUAAUAAAGCGAUGCAAUGAAUGAUAGUAAAAAAGUUUAAUUUCUUUCAACACCGAAUAUUUAUUUUCUAAUAGUAUAAGGGCCUAGAGUUCUGCAUGAUCAAUUUAGGAUGUUUUCUUCAAUUUUUUUCUAUUUAUAUAUCUAUGUUUGGUGCUAAUAUUUUUGAAAUUUCAAACUCUAUUUUCUCGGUUGAUUGGUUACCUGCUAGAUUGGUUACCAUGUGUGGACAGGGAACGGAGAAAUUAAUCAUCUGA